Molecule: ribosomal RNA, 253 nt
Filed under: uncultured bacterium
Lineage: Bacteria
Description: partial 16S ribosomal RNA
Rfam family: Bacterial small subunit ribosomal RNA
Source: RNAcentral
UACGGAGGGUGCAAGCGUUAUCCGGAUUCACUGGGUUUAAAGGGUGCGUAGGCGGAUAAGUAAGUCAGUGGUGAAAUCUCCGGGCUUAACCCGGAAACUGCCGUUGAUACUAUUUAUCUUGAAUAUCAUGGAGGUAAGCGGAAUAUGUCAUGUAGCGGUGAAAUGCUUAGAUAUGACAUAGAACACCGAUAGCGAAGGCAGCUUACUACAUGUUAAUUGACGCUGAGGCACGAAAGCGUGGGGAGCAAACAGG